AAUGAAGAUUCUUUAUUUCUUUCUUUGUUUCGAUCUAAUAACCACAUAAUCAAAGAUGACACAUAAACUAAAUCGGUUGAAGAGUGCUCACGGUUCAAUCUGAGAUUAUAUCUGAAAACCAGAAGAAGAAACUGAUCCGCGGUGGCUCACAGCCUGAUGUGCCGACAAAGAAGGUGACAAAAAAAAGGAAAAAAAGAGUGGAUACCUUUUAGAUCUACUUGGUUUUAGGGUUUUUAUUGUUCUGGGUUUAUUCGAUUUAGGGUUCUUAAAGAUAUUUCUAGGGUUUUUUUUAUGAUUUAGGGUUCU
This 306-nucleotide long non-coding RNA is filed under the name Brassica napus (rape). RNAcentral describes it as "long non-coding RNA (BNAP_LNC017820)". Lineage: Eukaryota; Viridiplantae; Streptophyta; Magnoliopsida; Brassicales; Brassicaceae. The record is from RNAcentral.